UACAGAGGUCCCAAGCGUUGUUCGGAUUCACUGGGCGUAAAGCGUGCGCAGGCGGUUUUGUAAGCCAGAUGUGAAAGCCCCGGGCUUAACCUGGGAAUGGCAUUUGGGACUGCAAGGCUUGAGUGCGGCAGAGGAGACUGGAAUCCCCGGUGUAGCAGUGAAAUGCGUAGAUAUCGGGAGGAAUACCGAUGGCGAAGGCAGGUCUCUGGGCUGACACUGACGCUCAUGCACGAAAGCGUGGGGAGCAAACAGG
This 253-nucleotide ribosomal RNA is filed under the name uncultured bacterium. RNAcentral's name for it is "partial 16S ribosomal RNA". It matches the Rfam family "Bacterial small subunit ribosomal RNA", at positions 524 to 776 of the family's 1533-position model. The record is from RNAcentral.